Molecule: ribosomal RNA, 468 nt
Filed under: uncultured bacterium
Lineage: Bacteria
Description: partial 16S ribosomal RNA
Rfam family: Bacterial small subunit ribosomal RNA
Source: RNAcentral
GACGAACGCUGGCGGCGUGCUUAACACAUGCAAGUCGAACGGUGAAGCUCCAGCUUGCUGGAGUGGAUCAGUGGCGAACGGGUGAGUAACACGUGAGCAACCUGCCCCUGACUCUGGAAUAAGCGCUGGAAACGGCGUCCAAUACUGGAUACGAGAAGGGUCCGCAUGGGCACUUUCUGGAAAGUUUUUCGGUUGGGGAUGGGCUCGCGGCCUAUCAGCUUGUUGGUGAGGUAAUGGCUCACCAAGGCGACGACGGGUAGCCGGCCUGAGAGGGCGACCGGCCACACUGGGACUGAGACACGGCCCAGACUCCUACGGGAGGCAGCAGUGGGGAAUAUUGCACAAUGGGCGAAAGCCUGAUGCAGCGACGCCGCGUGAGGGAUGACGGCCUUCGGGUUGUAAACCUCUUUCAGCAGGGAAGAAGCGAAAGUGACGGUACCUGCAGAAGAAGCACCGGCUAACUACGUG